Molecule: long non-coding RNA, 3561 nt
Filed under: Manihot esculenta (cassava)
Lineage: Eukaryota; Viridiplantae; Streptophyta; Magnoliopsida; Malpighiales; Euphorbiaceae
Description: long non-coding RNA (MESC_LNC010623)
Source: RNAcentral
AGUUUCAGAGUCUUCUAACAAGUCCAGUUCUCAACCGAACCUUGCAGAAUACCUUGCUGCCUCAUUUAAUGAAACUGUCAAAGAUGCAGCAGGUGUAUGAUCAAAUGGAAAAAACUCCUACUACAAUUGCACAAGCGAAAUUGAAGCUGAUGGAGAAAUCAGAAUUCAUUGCAUUUGUUUAGAAGUAGGAAUGGACAGUUACCAAGCCCAAGCCAGACAGGCAUCUGCUAGAUCAGAUGACGCCCCUUCACCUGUUUGCUCCUUCGGAUAUCCAUGGAUGCCAUAAGGCACUAAAAGUUUACUUGUAAAGGAAAUCUGCAUGCGAAAAUUUAAUCUGGCUUGUUAUGUAGAUUCCAGCAUACGAAAUUUUCCUAGCGUAGCUGGUUGGGUUGUUUCACAAAAUAUGCUUGCAAUUAGAGGAACUCACUCUUGACUGUUGUAUAAAUUUAGUUGCAAUUACACUCAUUGAGGAGGUUCAUUGUGCAAGGAGACCUCCUCGUGCUUUUGAGCUGCAUCUGCAACAUUUACCUACACUUCAUGGUCUCUAAAUUUACAGUAGAAGAACCUGUUCUUUGUUUGUCUUGGUGGCCAGGAUUAAGUUCCACGAGUAUGGUACUCGGGACAAUGCUGCUCAGUUUCUCUGAAAUAACAGUAAAUGUAUUUUGAGUGUGGGAGGCUAAAAUAAAUGCUAUUAAAAAAUUAUUUAGAUUUACCAAAAAAAAAAAGUCAUCUUACUCUCUCAAUUUUUUUUAUGUGUUUGUGUUGUUUUAGAGUAUUUUUUUAAUAAGUAAUGUUUUAGAUUUUUGAUACUCUUAAAUGUUUUUUAUUACGCUUCAAUAAAGGAAAUAUUUUUAAAAUAUUAAUUAAUUUUAUUAUACUUGUAUAUAUAUUUUAAUCGAAGGGAGAUAUAGUUUAUUUAUUUUUUGUUAAAACUUAGUAUUUUUUCCUCUUUUAAAAUUUUAAAAGACAAAUUAAAAAAUCAGAGGUAAUCAUAUGUGCAAAAUUAAUGCGUUUUUAAAAAAGUAUAUAUUAUAAUAAUUUUAUUAAAUAAAAAAAUUGUAUGUUUAAUUUAAAAAAUUCAUACAUUAUUACUAUAUUUAUGAUGAUAAAUUAAAUUAAUAUAUUGUUAAUUUUAUUUUAUAAUGAUUUUUAUGCAGCAUAUUAUAAUAAUUUACUGUGAUGAUAAUAAAACACCAAUUUUAAUUGGUUAUUUAAAAUGAUGUUUAUAAGAUUAUUAUUUAUAAAAAUUAAUAAUAUGUAUAUAUAUAACUGAUGUGUACAAAAUUAAUGUGUUCUUAUUGCCGAGUGAUAAUUAUCCAUCGGCAGUGAGAUCAAAGGGAGUAGAGGGAGAGAGACGUGGCAAAGAGGACAUGCACGAAGUGACGGUGUUCGACCGGCAAUAAUUAUUCAUUACCAAACUUUAAUUAAUUAACACUCCCCUGUGCCCACUGAACUGUGCAUCCAUCAAAAUAUCGGUUUUAUGUAUUGAAAAUAAUUUUUAUUUAUUUUAAACUAUAAUUAUUUUUAAUAAUAUUAAUAAAUUUAUAAAAAAAAUUAUACUGUUAUUUAUAUAAAAUAUUUUUCUUAAAAAAAUGUUUAAAAUUUUAUUAAAAAUUAUUUUUAUUUAUGUUUUUUAAGUGAACAUUAAAAAGAAUUCCGAAAAUAAAAGGCGUUUAAAGGUAUAGCUACCACUUCUGAUGUUGGUUGGAAUGUGGCCCAUGUCUAUAACCAAGCUAAUCAGUUGCCUCAUGGAAAAGUUAUACAAUAUAUCGCAUGAUAUGAUAAGUUGGCAUCAUCCAUUAUAAUAAAAAUAAUUUAAUAAAUCAAUAAUUUUUCUUAAUUACUUAAUAUCUUUUAAUAAUAAAUAUUUCAAUUUUAUUAAUUAACAAUAUCACAUUAUUUAUGCCAGAGCACUAAAUAAUUAUUUGUCUCAUAAUUUAGCACUGUGCCAUUCCCAUCAUUUGGAUAUAUUUUCCCACGAUUUGGAAUAAAAAAUUUUAUACGAAAUUAAUUCAAUUAAUUUUUUUAAUUAUUUUUUAUUUGAAAUAAAGAAUUUUAGUUUUUGUUAGUUUAUAAAAAAAAUUAUUUAAAAAAUAAAAAUUUUAUAUGAUUUUAAAAUUUUUAUUUGAAUUUUUUUUAUAAAAUAGGAUUUUAGCAAAGGACACCAGUUUUGGUUGUAAAAUUGUGAAAUAUUUAUUUUCUUCAAAUAAACAUGCAACAAAAGUCAAAUACUCCCUUUUUGUCAAUAUUUAAAUAAAGUUUUAAGCUUUGUUUUAAUAGAAAUUAAAUUUAUUUAUAAAAUUAUUUUUUUUUCUCUUUUCUCUACAUUUUGUUCCACCAUAUCGUAAAACAUUAAAUAUGUAAAUUUCAUGUAUUAAUCUUUAUAUAUGUCCCAAAAUUAUGUCAUUAGCUUUUCAUUUUUUCAUAUAAUAAGAAUUUUGCAUGAAUUUGAUUUAAUUUUUAUUCUAUCAAAUCUGUUAUUAAUUUAAUUUUAAUUUAGUGAAUCAGAGAUAUUGUGGUCAAAUUAAUAUAAUUUUAAUUUUUUUUGUCUGAAAUAUAAUUUUAAUUAUAUCAUUAUAAGUGAGAUGGGCAUAUAUUGAAAUUACUACAUGAAAAAAAAAAAUCAAUACAGUGGUUUUUUUUUAUUAGCACAUUUCUUUUUCUCUCUCAAAUUAGUGGAUAAAACACUUUCGAAUACUCUAAAUUCAUAUCUUUAAAUGAAAUUAAGAGUGUUUUUGUGAAGUUGAUUUUAUGAUAUCUCUUUUAUAUGUAAGCAUUUAAUUUGUUAAAAAAUAUUUUUUUUCACGAGAAAAUGAAAAAUUGCAUAAUUGCAUAUUAUGCAUCAAAAUAAAAAAUAAAAAAUAACUGUUGAAGAAUAACUCGUAUGAGUAUUUAUAUAUCUAUAUAUCAUUGUAUUAAUUAUUAUUUUUUUCUUUAAUUAAUUAUUAAUUAUUAAUUAUUAUAUUUUUAUUAAUAAAAUAAAUAGUAUUGAAUAAUUAUUAAAAAAAGUUAUUAUGGAUGGCAUUUCUCUGCAUGCUAUUAUAUCAUUAAAUUUUGGGCUGACUUUGAAGUACGGGAACUAUAUGAGCCAUAAAACCUGUCGAGCUCAAGGGCCAGUUCUAUGGGGCCGAAAGCUCGCCUAUAAAGAUUCCGCCAUUGUAUGAUGCCUUUCUGGGCGUGGACUUUCUUCAAACAGUUAUUAGACAUUCCAUUUAAUAGCUGCGGUUUUUUGGGUAUGGGAUUAGUGAAUGGAGCCGGAAAAAUUAGUAAUUUUUAGGGCAAUAAAAAAUUAUAAAAUAAUAACUUUAUUCUCUUCUUUCUUUAUGAAACCUUAUUUCCUAGAAUUUUUUCCUACAAUAAUAUUAAAAUUAAAAAUUAAUAUAAAAAAUUAACUUUUUGAAAUAUUUAUUUUAAAAAAAUCGUAUGUAUGCGAAUAAAAUCUUAUACUAUUUAAAAAAUAUAGAUCAAGUGUGGAGGCAUACCUGUGGGACUCAGCUGGGCUUAUGUUCCUGGACAUGCAUUCUCAGCUUCAACCUUCAUCAACAUGUGGGGCCAAUACAU